UCGAUAUCCUUCCCAGUGGCUAUGGGAAUCUGCUUUGUGAUCGAUGGAUUUGGCAUUGAUUGAUGUACAUGCGUUGGUUUCCUGGUUUUCGACAGAUGAUAUGAGUCUGAAGAAGUUGAGAUGAUGUCCACCUGAUUGACUGAUUUCAGAAAGUUGAUACCAAUAUAUCCAGCCAGAAACAGAAGAUGAAAACGGGCAAUUAUACAGUAAAUUGUAUUGCAUGAUUGUUAUACUGCAGAGCAUCUCGGUAAUAAAUAUGUUAGCCAUACUGUGCACACACUUAAAGAAGAACUGUUAGAGAACCAUGGAGUAUCUGCCCUUUAAACAAAACGUGUUAAUUAAGGCUAUUGAUCACCGUGACUGGCAAGAAGCAAGACGUAUCUGUGAAGAACAUCCCAACCUUAUUAACACUUAUGACACCAGGAUAUGGGUGUGUAUUCAGCUGAUUAUAUACAAUUCUGGGUGUGAUUUAGUGAUGAAUUAUCAUUUUAUUGGUUCUUCACUUCAGGCCUAAAGUUACUGUAGUCCCAAACAUUGCCUUAAGGCCUGUCUAGACUCUUAAAUUUUAUUUGACGAAAACAUGUGACAUGCCCAAAUAUGGUGAUGAUGACAUCACAUUGUGACCAUAUUUGGGCACAUGAUGACUAUAUUUGGGCAUACAACAGUUUUU
Molecule: long non-coding RNA, 670 nt
Organism: Anneissia japonica
Lineage: Eukaryota; Metazoa; Echinodermata; Crinoidea; Comatulida; Comatulidae
Exons: 3
Source: RefSeq, a predicted model, not a curated record